RNAcentral lists this unclassified non-coding RNA (222 nucleotides) under Hevea brasiliensis (rubber tree). The record is from RNAcentral. Lineage: Eukaryota; Viridiplantae; Streptophyta; Magnoliopsida; Malpighiales; Euphorbiaceae.
AAAAACUAGCCUGAUUUUCAAUCAGGCCGGCGCCAAAAAUACUCUUGUUAACCCAACCACCGUGCACAAUCGUCGUCCUCCAACUAAUUGAUCGACGAGAGACAAUCGAAAUGAGUGGAGCUCGAUUGUGCUCCUUACUGGCUGAAUUGGGAUACGAAGGUGCAGAGACAUUGGAUCCUGACAGCUUCGAGUGGCCCUUCCAAUACGACGACGCACGCCCCG